This is a transfer RNA of Camelus ferus (Wild Bactrian camel), 72 nucleotides long. It matches the Rfam family "tRNA". Rfam says of the family: Transfer RNA (tRNA) molecules are approximately 80 nucleotides in length. NCBI's taxonomy places the organism in Eukaryota, Metazoa, Chordata, Mammalia, Artiodactyla, Camelidae. The record is from Rfam.
GAGAGUAUAGCUCAAGUGGUAAAGCAUAUGCUUAGCAUGCACAAGGUCCUGAGUUCAAUCCCCAGUAUCUCC